RNAcentral lists this ribosomal RNA (493 nucleotides) under uncultured bacterium. RNAcentral's name for it is "partial 16S ribosomal RNA". It matches the Rfam family "Bacterial small subunit ribosomal RNA", at positions 28 to 506 of the family's 1533-position model. The record is from RNAcentral.
GACGAACGCUGGCGGCGCGCUUAACACAUGCAAGUCGAACGGAAAGGCCUGCUUUCCCUUGUGGAUUGCGGGUACUCGAGUGGCUAACGGGUGAGUAACACGUGAGUGAUCUGCCCCCAACUUAGGUAUAAGCCUGGGAAACUGGGUCUAAUUCCCGAUAGGACUGCAGGGCGGUGCCUGUGGUGGAAAACGAUUUUCUAGUGGUUGGGGAUGAGCUCGCGGCCUAUCAGCUUGUUGGUGGGGUAAUGUCCUACCAAGGCGGCGACGGGUAGCCGGCGGGGGAGGGUGGCCCGGGAACUUGGGCCCGGGCCACGGCCCUGACGCCUACGGGAGGAAGGAGUGGGGCACAAUGCACAAUGGGCUGACGCCGGAUGGCGCGACGCGGGGUGGGGGACGACGGCCUGCGGGUUGCAAUCUCCUGUCGACAGCGAGGAAGCCACCUGGUUGGAAGGGUGGUGACGGUAGUGGUAGAAGAAGCACCGGCUAACUACGU